CCUACGGGAGGCAGCAGUGAGGAAUAUUGGUCAAUGGCCGGAAGGCUGAACCAGCCAUGCCGCGUGAAGGUCAGUGCCCUAUGGGCGUUAAACUUCUUUUGUGCGGGAGCAAUAAUGGUCACGUGUGGCCAGACGAGGGUACCGUACGAAUAAGCAUCGGCUAACUCCGUGCCAGCAGCCGCGGUAAUACGGGGGAAGCAAGCGUUAUCCGGAUGUUUUGGGUUUAAAGGGUGCGUAGGCUGUGAGGUAAGUCAGCGGUGAAAUGCCCCCGCUCAACGGGGUGAAGUGCCAUUGAUACUGCCUUGCUGGAAUGCGGAUGCGGUGGGAGGAAUGUGUGGUGUAGCGGUGAAAUGCAUAGAUAUCACACAGAACACCGAUUGCGAAGGCAUCUCACGAAUCCGCGAUUGACGCUGAUGCACGAAAGCGUGGGUAUCAAACAGGAUUAGAUACCCCAGUAGUC
This 460-nucleotide ribosomal RNA is filed under the name uncultured bacterium. RNAcentral's name for it is "partial 16S ribosomal RNA". It matches the Rfam family "Bacterial small subunit ribosomal RNA", at positions 338 to 795 of the family's 1533-position model. The record is from RNAcentral.